RNAcentral lists this ribosomal RNA (319 nucleotides) under Vibrio alginolyticus. RNAcentral's name for it is "bacterial SSU rRNA". It matches the Rfam family "Bacterial small subunit ribosomal RNA", at positions 1 to 306 of the family's 1533-position model. Lineage: Bacteria; Pseudomonadati; Pseudomonadota; Gammaproteobacteria; Vibrionales; Vibrionaceae. The record is from RNAcentral.
AAAUUGAAGAGUUUGAUCAUGGCUCAGAUUGAACGCUGGCGGCAGGCCUAACACAUGCAAGUCGAGCGGAAACGAGUUAUCUGAACCUUCGGGGGACGAUAACGGCGUCGAGCGGCGGACGGGUGAGUAAUGCCUAGGAAAUUGCCCUGAUGUGGGGGAUAACCAUUGGAAACGAUGGCUAAUACCGCAUAAUGCCUACGGGCCAAAGAGGGGGACCUUCGGGCCUCUCGCGUCAGGAUAUGCCUAGGUGGGAUUAGCUAGUUGGUGAGGUAAGGGCUCACCAAGGCGACGAUCCCUAGCUGGUCUGAGAGGAUGAUCA